AGGGGGGGCAAGCGUUGUUCGGAAUUACUGGGCGUAAAGGGUGCGUAGGCGGCUUUCUAAGUUGGAUGUGAAAACUCUGGGCUCAACCCAGAGACUGCAUCCAAAACUGGAGAGCUUGGGUUCUGGAGGGGAAAGCGGAAUUCCUGGUGUAGCGGUGAAAUGCGUAGAUAUCAGGAGGAACACCGGUGGCGAAGGCGGCUUUCUGGACAGAUACCGACGCUGAGGCACGAAAGCUAGGGGAGCAAACAGGAUUAGAUACCCUGGUAGUCCUAGCCCUAAACGAUGGAUACUUGCUGUGAGGGGGAUUGAAACCCCUUGUGGCGAAGCUAACGCAUUAAGUAUCCCGCCUGGGGAGUACGGUCGCAAGGCUG
Molecule: ribosomal RNA, 371 nt
Filed under: uncultured bacterium
Lineage: Bacteria
Description: bacterial SSU rRNA
Rfam family: Bacterial small subunit ribosomal RNA
Source: RNAcentral